This 253-nucleotide ribosomal RNA is filed under the name uncultured bacterium. RNAcentral describes it as "partial 16S ribosomal RNA". It matches the Rfam family "Bacterial small subunit ribosomal RNA", at positions 524 to 776 of the family's 1533-position model. The record is from RNAcentral.
UACGUAGGGUGCGAGCGUUGUCCGGAAUUAUUGGGCGUAAAGGGCUCGUAGGCGGUUUGUCGCGUCGGGAGUGAAAAUCCAGGGCUUAACUCUGGACUGGCUUCCGAUACGGGCAGACUAGAGGUAGGCAGGGGAGAACGGAAUUCCUGGUGUAGCGGUGAAAUGCGCAGAUAUCAGGAGGAACACCGGUGGCGAAGGCGGUUCUCUGGGCCUUACCUGACGCUGAGGAGCGAAAGCGUGGGGAGCAAACAGG